This 497-nucleotide ribosomal RNA is filed under the name uncultured bacterium. RNAcentral describes it as "partial 16S ribosomal RNA". It matches the Rfam family "Bacterial small subunit ribosomal RNA", at positions 28 to 507 of the family's 1533-position model. The record is from RNAcentral.
GAUGAACGCUGGCGGCGUGCCUAAUACAUGCAAGUCGAGCGGAAAGACGAGGAGCUUGCCCCCCUGACGUUAGCGGCGGACGGGUGAGUAACAUGUGGAUAACCUACCUAUAUGACUGGGAUAAAUUCGGGAAACCGGUGCUAAUAACGGCUAAUAUAUUCAACCGCAUGGUUCAAUAGUGACAGACGGUUUUGCUGUCACUUAUCGAUGGAUCCGCGCCGCAUUAGCUAGUUGGUAAGGUAACGGCUUACCAAGGCAACGAUGCGUAGCCGACCUGAGAGGGUGAUCGGCCACACUGGAACUGAGACACGGUCCAGACUCCUACGGGAGGCAGCAGUAGGGAAUCUUGCACAAUGGGCGAAAGCUUGACGGAGCAACGCCGCGUGAGUGAUGAAGGUCUUCGGAUUGUAAAACUCUGUUAUUAGGGAAGAACAAAUGUGUAAGUAACUAUGCACUUCUUGACGGUACCUAAACAGAAAGCCACGGCUAACUACGUG